UGGUGGAGUGAUUUGUCUGGUUAAUUCCGUUAACGAACGAGACCUCGACCUGCUAAAUAGUUCGACGAACAACCUAUGUUGUUCGAUCGUUUGACUUCUUAGAGGGACUAUUGGUGUGUACACAGAGGUAGU
RNAcentral lists this ribosomal RNA (132 nucleotides) under uncultured eukaryote. RNAcentral describes it as "partial 18S ribosomal RNA". It matches the Rfam family "Eukaryotic small subunit ribosomal RNA", at positions 1299 to 1444 of the family's 1831-position model. The record is from RNAcentral.